CACGGGGGGAGCAAGCGUUGUUCGGAAUCACUGGGCGUAAAGGGCGUGUAGGCGGUCAGGUAAGUGAGAUGUGAAAUGCCCCGGCUCACCCGGGGACCGGCAUCUCAUACUGCUUGGCUUGAGUACGGGAGAGGAUGUGGGAAUUCCUGGUGUAGCGGUGAAAUGCGUAGAUAUCAGGAGGAACACCGGUGGCGAAGGCGCACAUCUGGCCCGAUACUGACGCUGAGGCGCGAAAGCUAGGGGAGCGAACGGG
RNAcentral lists this ribosomal RNA (253 nucleotides) under uncultured bacterium. RNAcentral describes it as "partial 16S ribosomal RNA". It matches the Rfam family "Bacterial small subunit ribosomal RNA", at positions 524 to 776 of the family's 1533-position model. The record is from RNAcentral.